Molecule: long non-coding RNA, 206 nt
Organism: Labrus mixtus (cuckoo wrasse)
Lineage: Eukaryota; Metazoa; Chordata; Actinopteri; Labriformes; Labridae
Exons: 3
Source: RefSeq, a predicted model, not a curated record
AGAGAAGCUGCACUGACGAUGGGAGUAUCAAUAGUCAUCAUCUGCAUUGUUACAGGUAGUGCGAGUUUAAUGUGUGUGUCAGGACAUGAAAGACCUGAGGUAAAAUCUCUUUCACAGGUAACAACUCACCAGUGAAGCUCACAGCACAUCCUGGAUGCUCUGUUACCAUCCAGUGCAAGUAUUCAGGAGCAGACACAACCAACCCU